AACGAACGCUGGCGGCGUGCUUAACACAUGCAAGUCGAACGGCAAGGCCCUGCUUUUGUGGGGUGCCCGGGUGGCGAACGGGUGCGUAACACGUGAGUAACCUACCCUUGUCUUUCGGAUAACUUCACGAAACUGGAGCUAAUCCCAUAUAGGAGCUCCUCCUGCAUGGUGGGGGUGGGAACGUUGCGGCGGGUGGGGAUGGACGGGCGGCUUAUCGGCUUGUUGGUGGGGUAGUGGCUUACCAAGGCAUUGACGGGUCGCCGGCCUGGGAGGGUGACCGGCGACAUGGGGACUGAGGUACGGCGCAGACGCGUACGGGGGGCAGCAGUGGGGAGUAUUGCACAAUGGGCGGAAGCGGGAUGCAGCAACGCCGCGUGCGGGAUGACGGCCUGCGGGUUGUAAACCGCUUUCGCCUGUGACGAAGCGGGAGUGACGGUAAUGGGUAAAGAAGCACCGGCUAACUACGUG
Molecule: ribosomal RNA, 468 nt
Filed under: uncultured bacterium
Lineage: Bacteria
Description: partial 16S ribosomal RNA
Rfam family: Bacterial small subunit ribosomal RNA
Source: RNAcentral